This 468-nucleotide ribosomal RNA is filed under the name uncultured bacterium. Its description in RNAcentral is "partial 16S ribosomal RNA". It matches the Rfam family "Bacterial small subunit ribosomal RNA", at positions 28 to 507 of the family's 1533-position model. The record is from RNAcentral.
GACGAACGCUGGCGGCGUGCUUAACACAUGCAAGUCGAACGGAAAGGCCCUGCUUUUGUGGGGUGCUCGAUUGGCGAACGGGUGAGUAACACGUGAGUAACCUGCCCUUGACUUUGGGAUAACUUCAGGAAACUGGGGCUAAUACCGGAUAGGAGCUCCUGCUGCAUGGGGGGGGUUGGAAAGUUUCGGCGGUUGGGGCUGGACUCGCUGCUUAUCAGCUUGUUGGUGGGGUAGUGGCGUACCAAGGCUGUGACGGGUAGCCGGCAUGAGAGGGUGACCGGGCACAUUGGGACUGAGAUACGGACCAGACGCGUACGGGAGGCAGCAGUGGGGAGUAUUGCAGAGUGGGGGGAAGCCUGAUGCGGCAGCGCCGCGUUCGGGAUGACGGCCUACGGGUUAUAAACCGCUUUCUCCUGUGACGAAGAGUGCGUGACGGUAAUGGGUAAAGAAGCACCGGCUAACUACGUG